This 65-nucleotide transfer RNA is filed under the name Anaxarcha zhengi. RNAcentral describes it as "tRNA-Pro". Lineage: Eukaryota; Metazoa; Arthropoda; Insecta; Mantodea; Hymenopodidae. The record is from RNAcentral.
CAAAGGGUAGUUUAAAUAAAACAUUAGUUUUGGAUAUUAAAUAUAAGAUUAUUUCUUUUCUUUGA